This 757-nucleotide small RNA is filed under the name Pongo abelii (Sumatran orangutan). Its description in RNAcentral is "retained intron". The record is from RNAcentral. Lineage: Eukaryota; Metazoa; Chordata; Mammalia; Primates; Hominidae.
GGGCGGACACCACUUGUUCUGGCUACUCAGAUGAGUAGGCCAACAAUAUGUCAACUGCUGAUAGAUAGAGGAGCGGAUGUUAAUUCCAGAGACAAACAAAACAGAACUGCCCUCAUGCUAGGUUGCGAAUAUGGUUGCAGAGAUGCAGUAGAAGUCUUAAUUAAAAAUGGUGCUGAUAUAAGCUUGCUGGAUGCGCUUGGCCAUGAUAGUUCUUACUAUGCAAGAAUUGGUGACAAUCUGGACAUUCUAACCUUGUUGAAGACUGCAUCGGAAAAUACCAACAAAGGGAGAGAACUUUGGAAGAAAGGACCAUCUUUGCAACAGCGAAAUUUGACACACAUGCAAGAUGAAGUAAAUGUGAAGUCACAUCAGAGGGAGCAUCAAAAUAUUCAGGAUUUGGAGAUUGAAAAUGAAGAUUUGAAAGAGAGGUUGAGAAAAAUUCAGCAAGAACAAAGAAUACUUUUGGAUAAAGUCAAUGGUUUACAGUUACAGCUGAAUGAGGAAGUUAUGGUUGCUGAUGAUCUGGAAAGCGAGAGAGAGAAGCUGAAGUCCCUUUUGGCAGCUAAAGAAAAGCAACAUGAAGAAAGCUUAAGGACUAUUGAGGCUCUGAAAAAUAGAUUUAAAUAUCUUGAGAGUGAUCAUUUAGGAUCAGGAAGUCAUUUCAGUAACCGUAAGUAUAAAAGUAUGAAUUAUCAUUACAGUUCACCUAGUUCAAGCAAAGAAGAAUGUUUAUUCUUACUUGUUUAACUAUACGGGA